RNAcentral lists this ribosomal RNA (445 nucleotides) under uncultured bacterium. RNAcentral describes it as "partial 16S ribosomal RNA". It matches the Rfam family "Bacterial small subunit ribosomal RNA", at positions 354 to 796 of the family's 1533-position model. The record is from RNAcentral.
GUAAGGAAUAUUGGGCAAUGGUGGCAACUCUGACCCAGCCAUGCCGCGUGAAGGAUGACGGCCCUCGUGGUUGUAAACUUCUUUUGUACGGGAAUAACCCUCCGAACGUGUUCGGAGCUGAAGGUACCGUAAGAAUAAGGAUCGACUAACUCCGUGCCAGCAGCCGCGGUAAUACGGAGGAUCCAAGCGUUAUCCGGAUUUACUGGGUUUAAAGGGUGCGUAGGCGGAUUGAUAAGUCAGUGGUGAAAGCCUACAGCUUAACUGUAGAACUGCCAUUGAUACUGCCAGUCUGGAGUAUGGUUGAGGUAGCUGGAAUGUGUCAUGUAGCGGUGAAAUGCUUAGAGAUGACACAGAACACCAACGGCGAAGGCAGGUUACCAACCCAUUACUGACGCUGAGGCACGAAAGCGUGGGGAUCAAACAGGAUUAGAAACCCGUGUAGUCC